RNAcentral lists this unclassified non-coding RNA (334 nucleotides) under plant metagenome. RNAcentral's name for it is "partial contains 5.8S ribosomal RNA, internal transcribed spacer 2, and large subunit ribosomal RNA". The stretch from base 1 to 105 matches the Rfam family "5.8S ribosomal RNA", at positions 50 to 154 of the family's 154-position model. The record is from RNAcentral.
GAAAUGCGAUAAGUAAUGUGAAUUGCAGAAUUCAGUGAAUCAUCGAAUCUUUGAACUCACAUUGCGCCCGGCAGCAAUCUGCCGGGCAUGCCUGUCCGAGCGUCAUUUCUGCCCUCGAGCGCGGUUCGGCCCCUAGCGGGCCGGCCGCCGCCCGGUGUUGGGGCGCUGCGGGCCCUCGUGCCCGCAGGCCCUGAAAUGAAGUGGCGGUCCCGCCGCGGCGCCCCCUGCGUAGUAGUAAAGCACCUCGCAUCGGGUCCCGGCGGAGGCCAGCCGUCGAACCUCUCUUUUGAUGGUUUGACCUCGGAUCAGGUAGGGUUACCCGCUGAACUUAAGC